CCACACCCCCACAGCCUAGUAGCCACUCAAGGCAUCCAACUAUAAAUACACUGCCAAGGCCAUUUGAUUUGUUCACCCACAUGUCCUCCUCUCCCUUCUCAAGUAGUUUCUCCUUGUAUUUUCUAAAUCCCCCACGAUUGUCUCCAAAGUAACUGUUACCACGUGAGCAGGCAAAAGUAUGCAAGAAUCUUUGAAGCUCAGGAGGGAUAGCGCCAUGGGUGGACUUGUGAAAGGUUUCUCAAAAAGCCUGUUUGUCUAUUGCGCUAUCUAUCCUGAGUUUCAUGGGUUCUUAAUACUGUACAAGUUAAAGAUGGGUCUUGAAGACAUUGUGGCCCAGUCUACUGGAAGGAAACUGGAAAGUUAGGGAGGGGGAAGGGAAGCCGAGGGAAGUCCCAAAAUUGUACGAGCAUAAAGUACCAACCCAUGUACAUUUUCUAUAUAUAUUAGAAUAAUGUUUGCUGCAUAA
Molecule: long non-coding RNA, 466 nt
Organism: Zingiber officinale
Lineage: Eukaryota; Viridiplantae; Streptophyta; Magnoliopsida; Zingiberales; Zingiberaceae
Exons: 2
Source: RefSeq, a predicted model, not a curated record